CUUAGUAUGAAAACUCUAAUAAAAAAGAGGCUAAAUUACAGAAAACCCUCCUGUAAUAAUCCGUUUUUUUACUUUCCCUCCCUGACAUUUAAAAAUCUACACUUUGCCUCCUUGUAAAAUAAAAAAUGUACACUUCAUCCCCUACCGUUAGGGUUCCGUUGUAAAAUAUUUUUUUAUGCCGAAAAUACCCCUCCGCCAUCUGCCUUGUUGCUUCGCCUCCCUCCGACUCGCCGCCUCGCCGCCGCCUCGCCACCUUGCCAUCCUCCACUGCCUCGUCCUCACCCACAUCCUCUUCGCCCUCCUCCGGCGCCUCGCCUUCGCCCUCAUUGCCCUUGCCUACCUUUCCAUCAACACCCACCUCGAUUUCCUCCCUACUAUCGUCGAAAUCGACGGGCGGCGAGGGUGCAGGAGGAAAAGGAGAGCAGGUGGAGAAGGAAAUGGAGAGAAAUCGCGGCCGAUUGAGGUGGGAAUCGCGGCCGAUCGAAGGGACGGCUGAGGAAGAUGAGGAAGAAGACGAAAAUGGCGAGAGGCAAAAUGGUCAUUUAACACACCGUAACGCCCUGUGAAUAUUUUUCAUUUUACGAAGGGACAAAGUAUAGAUUUUUAAAUGUCGGGAGGGAAAGUGAAAAAGCGGGUUAUUACAUAGGGGUUUUCUGUAAUUUAGCCUA
RNAcentral lists this long non-coding RNA (668 nucleotides) under Ananas comosus (pineapple). Its description in RNAcentral is "long non-coding RNA (ACOM_LNC008514)". Lineage: Eukaryota; Viridiplantae; Streptophyta; Magnoliopsida; Poales; Bromeliaceae. The record is from RNAcentral.